This 386-nucleotide ribosomal RNA is filed under the name uncultured prokaryote. Its description in RNAcentral is "bacterial SSU rRNA". It matches the Rfam family "Archaeal small subunit ribosomal RNA", at positions 339 to 725 of the family's 1478-position model. The record is from RNAcentral.
GCGCGAAAACUUUAUAAUGCUGGCAACAGCGAUAAGGGAACCUCGCGUGCCAGGUUACAAAUCUGGCUGUCGAGAUGCCUAAAAAGCAUUUCAUAGCAAGGGCCGGGCAAGACCGGUGCCAGCCGCCGCGGUAACACCGGCGGCUCGAGUGGUAACCGUUAUUAUUGGGUCUAAAGGGUCUGUAGCCGGCCGGAUAAGUCUCUUGAGAAAUCUGGCAGCUUAACUGGCAGGCUUUCAGGAGAUACUGUCUGGCUCGAGGCCGGGAGAGGUGAGAGGUACUUCAGGGGUAGGGGUGAAAUCUUGUAAUCCUUGAAGGACCACCAGUGGCGAAGGCGUCUCACCAGAACGGACCUGACGGCAAGGGACGAAAGCUAGGGGCACGAACC